GCCGGCUUAGCUCAGUUGGUAGAGCACCUGAUUUGUAAUCAGGGGGUCGCAGGUUCGAGUCCUGCAGCCGGCACCA
This 76-nucleotide transfer RNA is filed under the name Hyphomicrobium sp. Its description in RNAcentral is "tRNA-Thr". It matches the Rfam family "tRNA". From Rfam's summary of the family: Transfer RNA (tRNA) molecules are approximately 80 nucleotides in length. Their secondary structure includes four short double-helical elements and three loops (D, anti-codon, and T loops). Further hydrogen bonds mediate the characteristic L-shaped molecular structure. tRNAs have two regions of fundamental functional importance: the anti-codon, which is responsible for specific mRNA codon recognition, and the 3' end, to which the tRNAs corresponding amino acid is attached (by aminoacyl-tRNA synthetases). tRNAs cope with the degeneracy of the genetic code in two manners: having more than one tRNA (with a specific anti-codon) for a particular amino acid; and 'wobble' base-pairing, i.e. permitting non-standard base-pairing at the 3rd anti-codon position. The record is from RNAcentral. RNAcentral also lists the same sequence under 1 other name. Lineage: Bacteria; Pseudomonadati; Pseudomonadota; Alphaproteobacteria; Hyphomicrobiales; Hyphomicrobiaceae.